CUAGGGUCAGCAUCUGGCCUUCGCCCCCGUGGGCUGUGCCUGGUGCUCUUAUAGGGAGGGCCCUCCUUCCUGAACCCUCUGAGGGAGGAGCGACCAGGAUCCGUCCACACCAUGGAGUCAGUGAGGCCUGUGAGCCGGAAGGCCCACGCCCUCGUUCUGCACAGAAGGCACCUGAGCCAUGGUGGGCAGUGACUAGUCCAGGGCCAUACUCGUCCUCAGAUUCCUGGGACAGUACUCUCUUCUCUCCUGCUCUACACCUCGUGACUGGGCCGAGGUUCUUAAUACAAGAGGCAGCCAGAACUGUGGGUGCAGACAUGGGGCAAACCUACGAGAACAAUGAAGGCCUCAUCCUCGGAAUGGAUUGCGGUGCACACUGGGCAUCUGAUGUGGUUUACGAAAACAAAAUAGGAGCGUGAAUUAAAAAUGAUGAAUCAAUGCAGGGAAAAUGGAAGAUACAAGGUCUAGAUCAGAGGGAUAGAAGAACAUGGAUAAGCAGAGUAGAAGACCCCACAGCGUGGCUGUGUCUGGGCCCCAGACUCAGGGGGCAGCUUCCUGGCAGUAAGAAGAAAGGACAACACAGCUGUUCAUUCUCAGUGUCAUGAUGGAUAAAUCCAGCACCCAGAACUCAGCCUGCCAUACAGCAGGUGCUCAGAAAACACAAGUGGGCCGUUACUGCCAGGUUCAGAAUGAUGAUCACUCGUGGAGAGAGGGAGGGCCCUGGAUUGUGCACUGGCUUCCAACUGUAUCUGCUCAAGUCUUUUUCAAGAGGGCAGCAGAUUUUCUGCUAUUGGCUACGCUAUUGCCUAUUUUGUUGUUACUAUU
Molecule: long non-coding RNA, 822 nt
Organism: Canis lupus familiaris (dog)
Lineage: Eukaryota; Metazoa; Chordata; Mammalia; Carnivora; Canidae
Exons: 3
Source: RefSeq, a predicted model, not a curated record